This 492-nucleotide ribosomal RNA is filed under the name uncultured bacterium. RNAcentral describes it as "partial 16S ribosomal RNA". It matches the Rfam family "Bacterial small subunit ribosomal RNA", at positions 29 to 507 of the family's 1533-position model. The record is from RNAcentral.
AGUGAACGCUGGCGGUAGGCCUAACACAUGCAAGUCGAACGGCAGCACAGUAAGAGCUUGCUCUUACGGGUGGCGAGUGGCGGACGGGUGAGGAAUACAUCGGAAUCUACUUUUUCGUGGGGGAUAACGUAGGGAAACUUACGCUAAUACCGCAUACGACCUACGGGUGAAAGCAGGGGAUCUUCGGACCUUGCGCGGUUGAAUGAGCCGAUGUCGGAUUAGCUAGUUGGCGGGGUAAAGGCCCACCAAGUCGACGAUCCGUAGCUGGUCUGAGAGGAUGAUCAGCCACACUGGAACUGAGACACGGUCCAGACUCCUACGGGAGGCAGCAGUGGGGAAUAUUGGACAAUGGGCGCAAGCCUGAUCCAGCCAUACCGCGUGGGUGAAGAAGGCCUUCGGGUUGUAAAGCCCUUUUGUGGGGAAAGAAAAGCAGCAGGUUAAUACCCCGCUGUUCUGACGGUACCCAAAGAAUAAGCACCGGCUAACUUCGUG